This 267-nucleotide ribosomal RNA is filed under the name uncultured Pseudomonas sp. RNAcentral's name for it is "partial 16S ribosomal RNA". It matches the Rfam family "Bacterial small subunit ribosomal RNA", at positions 1120 to 1382 of the family's 1533-position model. The record is from RNAcentral. Lineage: Bacteria; Pseudomonadati; Pseudomonadota; Gammaproteobacteria; Pseudomonadales; Pseudomonadaceae.
AGCACGUUAUGGUGGGCGACUCUAAGGAGGACUGCCGGUGACAAACCGGAGGGAAGGUGGGGAGUGACGUCAAGUCAUCAUGGCCCUUACGGCCUGGGCUACACACGUGCUACAAUGGUCGGUACAAAGGGUUGCCAAGCCGCGAGGUGGAGCUAAUCCCAUAAAACCGAUCGUAGUCCGGAUCGCAGUCUGCAACUCGACUGCGUGAAGUCGGAAUCGCUAGUAAUCGUGAAUCAGAAUGUCACGGUGAAUACGUUCCCGGGCCUU